GAUGAACGCUGGCGGCGUGCCUAAUACAUGCAAGUCGAGCGAACAGAUAAGGAGCUUGCUCCUUUGACGUUAGCGGCGGACGGGUGAGUAACACGUGGGUAACCUACCUAUAAGACUGGGAUAACUUCGGGAAACCGGAGCUAAUACCGGAUAAUAUUUCGAACCGCAUGGUUCGAUAGUGAAAGAUGGUUUUGCUAUCACUUAUAGAUGGACCCGCGCCGUAUUAGCUAGUUGGUAAGGUAACGGCUUACCAAGGCGACGAUACGUAGCCGACCUGAGAGGGUGAUCGGCCACACUGGAACUGAGACACGGUCCAGACUCCUACGGGAGGCAGCAGUAGGGAAUCUUCCGCAAUGGGCGAAAGCCUGACGGAGCAACGCCGCGUGAGUGAUGAAGGUCUUCGGAUCGUAAAACUCUGUUAUUAGGGAAGAACAUACGUGUAAGUAACUGUGCACGUCUUGACGGUACCUAAUCAGAAAGCCACGGCUAACUACGUGCCAGCAGCCGCGGUAAUACGUAGGUGGCAAGCGUUAUCCGGAAUUAUUGGGCGUAAAGCGCGCGUAGGCGGUUUUUCAAGUCUGAUGUGAAAGCCCACGGCUCAACCGUGGAGGGUCAUUGGAAACUGGAAAACUUGAGUGCAGAAGAGGAAAGUGGAAUUCCAUGUGUAGCGGUGAAAUGCGCAGAGAUAUGGAGGAACACCAGUGGCGAGGGCGACUUUCUGGUCUGUAACUGACGCUGAUGUGCGAAAGCGUGGGGAUCAAACAGGAUUAGAUACCCUGGUAGUCCACGCCGUAAACGAUGAGUGCUAAGUGUUAGGGGGUUUCCGCCCCUUAGUGCUGCAGCUAACGCAUUAAGCACUCCGCCUGGGGAGUACGACCGCAAGGUUGAAACUCAAAGGAAUUGACGGGGACCCGCACAAGCGGUGGAGCAUGUGGUUUAAUUCGAAGCAACGCGAAGAACCUUACCAAAUCUUGACAUCCUUUGACAACUCUAGAGAUAGAGCUUUCCCCUUCGGGGGACAAAGUGACAGGUGGUGCAUGGUUGUCGUCAGCUCGUGUCGUGAGAUGUUGGGUUAAGUCCCGCAACGAGCGCAACCCUUAAGCUUAGUUGCCAUCAUUAAGUUGGGCACUCUAAGUUGACUGCCGGUGACAAACCGGAGGAAGGUGGGGAUGACGUCAAAUCAUCAUGCCCCUUAUGAUUUGGGCUACACACGUGCUACAAUGGACAAUACAAAGGGCAGCGAAACCGCGAGGUCAAGCAAAUCCCAUAAAGUUGUUCUCAGUUCGGAUUGUAGUCUGCAACUCGACUACAUGAAGCUGGAAUCGCUAGUAAUCGUAGAUCAGCAUGCUACGGUGAAUACGCUCCCGGGUCU
RNAcentral lists this ribosomal RNA (1372 nucleotides) under uncultured bacterium. Its description in RNAcentral is "bacterial SSU rRNA". It matches the Rfam family "Bacterial small subunit ribosomal RNA", at positions 28 to 1381 of the family's 1533-position model. The record is from RNAcentral.